GGGUGCGAUCAAUAAGCACUAAAUGCACCGGAUCCCAUCAGAACUCCGCAGUUAAACGUGCUUGGGCGAGAGUAGUAUUAGGAUGGGUGACCUCUCUGGAAAGUCCUCGUGUUGCACCCC
Molecule: ribosomal RNA, 120 nt
Filed under: Salix viminalis (osier)
Lineage: Eukaryota; Viridiplantae; Streptophyta; Magnoliopsida; Malpighiales; Salicaceae
Source: RNAcentral